UCUUUAUUUACACUUCCUUGCUGUGAUCUUUCCCAGGAAUGUGGAUUCAGACAGCCCAAAUUGUGUCUAACUUAGUGAAAGUAAGGCAAAACAAUGGUGGCAAAGGGGAAGAAAAAACUUGUGGCUACUCAUAAGAGAACCAUCAUGUGGAAAAAAGAAAACCUCCAGGCUUCUAGACAAGAUUCCACUUUCUGCAGCAUCCCUACCAACAUGUGGCAAAAAACAUCAGCAAAAAGUGAUAUUUAAAACAGUCUUUUUGCUACUACAAAUGAGUCACUUCUCAGAGUUGCCUAAAGGCAAUGUGCAAGGCGUGUUCUUUGGAAAGGAAAAGGUUAUAAGCAAGAGAUAUGAAUGCCAAAAGAUGCUCAACAGCUUGGAAAAAUAUCAGCAGAUAAGUGCCUGCAAUGAGCUAGUGAAGCAAGCAGCUGUACCACCUAGAAGCAAGCAAGCUGUCUUCUGAGGGGAGCCUGAUUCCACUCUACUGAUGGCAUUUUGUGUGAGGUUUAUGAAUACAGGAAUACUGGUCAUUCAGUGAUGUGAAACUAUCAUAUUAGACAUUGAUUUUAGUUUUUUUUUACAGAGCAUUGACUAACAAAUAUAGCAGUGGGGAAUUAAAUGGAUUGUUCUUGCUCCAAACAAUAAACAUCUAACUGUUUUUAAAAAACA
RNAcentral lists this long non-coding RNA (666 nucleotides) under Cyanistes caeruleus (blue tit). RNAcentral's name for it is "lncRNA (ENSCCEG00000015613.1)". Lineage: Eukaryota; Metazoa; Chordata; Aves; Passeriformes; Paridae. The record is from RNAcentral.